CACAAUGGGAACUCCCCCAAGUUUUCUUUGGAGCUGAUGACAGUGUGGCAGGAAGAGAGGCUAUCACGCUGUCACAGGCUCUUUGGCCACACAGGGAGGAAGCCAGAGCGGACCCCUUGGGGAAA
This is a non-coding RNA of Sus scrofa (pig), 125 nucleotides long. The record is from RefSeq and is a predicted model, not a curated record. Lineage: Eukaryota; Metazoa; Chordata; Mammalia; Artiodactyla; Suidae.